AGAGUUUGAUCCUGGCUCAGAUUGAACGCUGGCGGCAUGCCUUACACAUGCAAGUCGAACGGCAGCACGAGAGCUUGCUCUUGGUGACGAGUGGCGAACGGGUGAGUAAUAUAUCGGAACGUACCCUAGAGUGGGGGAUAACGUAGCGAAAGUUACGCUAAUACCGCAUACGAUCUACGGAUGAAAGUGGGGGAUCGCAAGACCUCAUGCUCAUGGAGCGGCCGAUAUCUGAUUAGCUAGUUGGUGGGGUAAAAGCUCACCAAGGCGACGAUCAGUAGCUGGUCUGAGAGGACGACCAGCCACACUGGAACUGAGACACGGUCCAGACUCCUACGGGAGGCAGCAGUGGGGAAUUUUGGACAAUGGGCGCAAGCCUGAUCCAGCAAUGCCGCGUGAGUGAAGAAGGCCUUCGGGUUGUAAAGCUCUUUUGUCAGGGAAGAAACGGUGGACUCUAAUACAGAUCACUAAUGACGGUACCUGAAGAAUAAGCACCGGCUAACUACGUGCCAGCAGCCGCGGUAAUACGUAGGGUGCAAGCGUUAAUCGGAAUUACUGGGCGUAAAGCGUGCGCAGGCGGUUGUGCAAGACAGAUGUGAAAUCCCCGGGCUCAACCUGGGAAUUGCAUUUGUGACUGCACGGCUAGAGUGUGUCAGAGGGGGGUAGAAUUCCACGUGUAGCAGUGAAAUGCGUAGAGAUGUGGAGGAAUACCGAUGGCGAAGGCAGCCCCCUGGGAUAACACUGACGCUCAUGCACGAAAGCGUGGGGAGCAAACAGGAUUAGAUACCCUGGUAGUCCACGCCCUAAACGAUGUCUACUAGUUGUCGGGUCUUAAUUGACUUGGUAACGCAGCUAACGCGUGAAGUAGACCGCCUGGGGAGUACGGUCGCAAGAUUAAAACUCAAAGGAAUUGACGGGGACCCGCACAAGCGGUGGAUGAUGUGGAUUAAUUCGAUGCAACGCGAAAAACCUUACCUACCCUUGACAUGUCUGGAAUCCUUGAGAGAUCAGGGAGUGCUCGAAAGAGAAUCAGAACACAGGUGCUGCAUGGCUGUCGUCAGCUCGUGUCGUGAGAUGUUGGGUUAAGUCCCGCAACGAGCGCAACCCUUGUCAUUAGUUGCUACGAAAGGGCGCUCUAAUGAGACUGCCGGUGACAAACCGGAGGAAGGUGGGGAUGACGUCAAGUCCUCAUGGCCCUUAUGGGUAGGGCUUCACACGUCAUACAAUGGUACAUACAGAGGGCCGCCAACCCGCGAGGGGGAGCUAAUCCCAGAAAGUGUAUCGUAGUCCGGAUUGUAGUCUGCAACUCGACUACAUGAAGUUGGAAUCGCUAGUAAUCGCGGAUCAGCAUGUCGCGGUGAAUACGUUCCCGGGUCUUGUACAUACCGCCCGUCACACCAUGGGAGCGGGUUUCACCAGAAGUGGGUAGCCUAACCGCAAGGAGGGCGCUCACCACGGUGGGAUUCGUGACUGGGGUGAAGUCGUAACAAGGUA
RNAcentral lists this ribosomal RNA (1491 nucleotides) under metagenome. RNAcentral's name for it is "bacterial SSU rRNA". It matches the Rfam family "Bacterial small subunit ribosomal RNA". The record is from RNAcentral.